CCUACGGGAGGCAGCAGUGGGGAAUAUUGCACAAUGGGGGAAACCCUGAUGCAGCGACGCCGCGUGAGUGAAGAAGUAUUUCGGUAUGUAAAGCUCUAUCAGCAGGGAAGACAAUGACGGUACCUGAGUAAGAAGCCACGGCUAACUACGUGCCAGCAGCCGCGGUAAUACGUAGGGGGCAAGCGUUAUCCGGAUUUACUGGGUGUAAAGGGAGCGUAGACGGCAGCGCAAGUCUGAAGUGAAAUGCCGGGGCUUAACCCCGGAACUGCAUUGGAAACUGUUCAGCUAGAGUGCAGGAGAGGUAAGUGGAAUUCCUGGUGUAGCGGUGAAAUGCGUAGAUAUUAGGAGGAACACCAGUGGCGAAGGCGGCUUACUGGACUGUAACUGACGUUGAGGCGCGAAAGCGUGGGGAGCAAACAGGAUUAGAUACCCGGGUAGUC
RNAcentral lists this ribosomal RNA (440 nucleotides) under uncultured bacterium. RNAcentral's name for it is "partial 16S ribosomal RNA". It matches the Rfam family "Bacterial small subunit ribosomal RNA", at positions 338 to 795 of the family's 1533-position model. The record is from RNAcentral.